GAGUUUGAUCAUGGCUCAGGACGAACGCUGGCGGCGUGCUUAACACAUGCAAGUCGAACGAUGAAGCCCAGCUUGCUGGGUGGAAGAGUGGCGAACGGGUGAGUAACACGUGAGUAACCUGCCCUGAACUCUGGGAUAAGCACUGGAAACGGUGUCUAAUACUGGAUACGACCUAUCACCGCAUGGUGUGUGGGUGGAAAGAUUUAUCGGUUUUGGAUGGACUCGCGGCCUAUCAGCUAGAUGGUGAGGUAAUGGCUCACCAUGGCGACGACGGGUAGCCGGCCUGAGAGGGUGACCGGCCACACUGGGACUGAGACACGGCCCAGACUCCUACGGGAGGCAGCAGUGGGGAAUAUUGCACAAUGGGCGCAAGCCUGAUGCAGCAACGCCGCGUGAGGGAUGACGGCCUUCGGGUUGUAAACCUCUUUUAGUAGGGAAGAAGCGAAAGUGACGGUACCUGCAGAAAAAGCACCGGCUAACUACGUGCCAGCAGCCGCGGUAAUACGUAGGGUGCAAGCGUUGUCCGGAAUUAUUGGGCGUAAAGAGCUCGUAGGCGGCUUGUCGCGUCUGCUGUGAAAUCCCGGGGCUCAACCCCGGGUCUGCAGUGGGUACGGGCAAGCUAGAGUGCGGUAGGGGAGAUUGGAAUUCCUGGUGUAGCGG
Molecule: ribosomal RNA, 660 nt
Filed under: uncultured bacterium
Lineage: Bacteria
Description: bacterial SSU rRNA
Rfam family: Bacterial small subunit ribosomal RNA
Source: RNAcentral